Molecule: ribosomal RNA, 288 nt
Filed under: Bacillus sp. (in: firmicutes)
Lineage: Bacteria; Bacillati; Bacillota; Bacilli; Caryophanales; Bacillaceae
Description: Bacillus sp. (in: Bacteria) partial 16S ribosomal RNA
Rfam family: Bacterial small subunit ribosomal RNA
Source: RNAcentral
GUGUCGUGAGAUGUUGGGUUAAGUCCCGCAACGAGCGCAACCCUUGAUCUUAGUUGCCAGCAUUCAGUUGGGCACUCUAAGGUGACUGCCGGUGACAAACCGGAGGAAGGUGGGGAUGACGUCAAAUCAUCAUGCCCCUUAUGACCUGGGCUACACACGUGCUACAAUGGACAGAACAAAGGGCUGCGAGACCGCAAGGUUUAGCCAAUCCCACAAAUCUGUUCUCAGUUCGGAUCGCAGUCUGCAACUCGACUGCGUGAAGCUGGAAUCGCUAGUAAUCGCGGAUCA